Molecule: ribosomal RNA, 460 nt
Filed under: uncultured bacterium
Lineage: Bacteria
Description: partial 16S ribosomal RNA
Rfam family: Bacterial small subunit ribosomal RNA
Source: RNAcentral
CCUACGGGUGGCAGCAGUGAUGAAUAUUGGUCAAUGGACGAGAGUCUGAACCAGCCAAGUAGCGUGAAGGAUGAAUGCCCUAUGGGUUGUAAACUUCUUUUAUAUGGGAAUAAAACGUUCCACGUGUGGGAUUUUGUAUGUACCAUAUGAAUAAGGAUCGGCUAACUCCGUGCCAGCAGCCGCGGUAAUACGGAGGAUCCGAGCGUUAUCCGGAUUUAUUGGGUUUAAAGGGAGCGUAGGUGGAUUGUUAAGUCAGUUGUGAAAGUUUGCGGCUCAACCGUAAAAUUGCAGUUGAAACUGGCAGUCUUGAGUACAGUAGAGGUGGGCGGAAUUCGUGGUGUAGCGGUGAAAUGCUUAGAUAUCACGAAGAACUCCGAUUGCGAAGGCAGUUCACUGGACUGCAACUGACACUGAGGCUCGAAAGUGUGGGUAUCAAACAGGAUUAGAUACCCCAGUAGUC